RNAcentral lists this transfer RNA (64 nucleotides) under Gemmatimonadota bacterium. RNAcentral's name for it is "Gemmatimonadetes bacterium (beach sand metagenome) tRNA-OTHER". Lineage: Bacteria; Pseudomonadati; Gemmatimonadota. The record is from RNAcentral.
GGAGUUAGUCGGGGCUUGUUGCUUUGCAAGCCAGAGGUCGCCGGUUCGAGCCCGGCUGACUCCA